This is a non-coding RNA of Physcomitrium patens, 2522 nucleotides long. The record is from RefSeq and is a predicted model, not a curated record. NCBI's taxonomy places the organism in Eukaryota, Viridiplantae, Streptophyta, Bryopsida, Funariales, Funariaceae.
CCCGAUCUCUCGCUUUCCCUCUCUCCCUCCCUUCCUCUCUCCUCCUGCUCCUACUAUUACCACUACAACCGCUGCUGCUGCUCUGCGUCUGUCGAGCUCCUCCUUGUCGAUGGCCCAGCUCGACCUCCCAUCACUCUUCACAGCACCCCAUGGCUUCUUCGACUCUGCUCUCCUCUUCACUCACCGCCAUGACGCCCUGGCCCAGCCUCUUCCCCCCUCUCCUCUCCUAGGUUUAGGGUUUCAACGCUUACAGCUCCGCGAUGGCAUCGACGUUUCAUCAUCCCUGGACCAAGCACCUGCCGCUAGUGAAUCUUUGUUACAAAGCUGGGCCUGUCAUGGCUGUCGUGCUGUCUUUCAAUCUUUGGAAGAACAGCGCGCUCACUUCAAAUCAGAUUUCCAUAAAUUCAACGUGAAGCGAAAAAUUGCUGGUAAAGAAACUCUGAACGAGAAUGAAUUCGAGGAAGUGACCCAGGGUAAUGAUGGCGACGUCUCUAGCAUUUCGGGAUCGGAUUCCGAGACAGAGGCGGAUGACAGUAGAAUCUCAUCAUCUCUAGUAUCACGAAGCAACCAGCUGCACGUCAAGUUGAAUAACUCAGGAGAUAUUAUUAUUCUCUGGAGGUGUCUAAUUGCAGCAGAUAAGGAGAUUCUGCCGGGAGAAAAAGGCUAUUCGACAGAUGAGACCACUGCUGCUAGUUUGUGUUUAAAGGAGGACGAAGUUUUGCGACGCCUGAAGUCCUUGACCAGUCGAGAGAAAAAGUCUGUGUGGGUUAUUUUGCUGGCUGCUGGCGGUCAUUUUGCUGGCUUGGUGAUAAAUAGUCAAGACGGUUCUAUUCUUGCUCAUCAAACUUUCCAUAGGUAUGUGGUGAGGGCCAAAGCAGGUGGUCGGCAAUCAGCACGAGAUGCUACGGGCAGAGCUCCUCAGUCUGCGGGGGCCUCGCUUCGUCGCUACAAUGAGCAAGCUCUUCAAAAAGACAUUAGAGAUCUUCUCACCUCUUGGAGUGAGCACAUGCAAGCUGCAUCUCAUAUUUUUGUGUAUGCCCCUUCGAGCAACGCACAAACCUUAUUUGGAGGGGAAAACGCGUCAUUGAAUCGUAAUGAUCGAAGGAUACGAAGGAUACCAUUCACCACACGUAGACCUACUAUGAAAGAAGCUAAGCGAAUUAGUCACCUCCUUAGCUGGCUUCAAAGAUUAGACUUAGAAGCAAUUCAUGCGACCGCAGACAUACCAGUCACCGUUGGAAGAUCCGGUAGAGUGACAACGCUUGUCGGGAAAGACUCUAGUAACGUGCCAGCGCAAACAGGAAAGACUUCCGACAGGACGAAGUUGAAGCCCCCUCAAGUUGAUAACCAGGUGUCAGCUGAACAAGUAGAAGGCAGUAAAUUAAGUUCGGAAGAUAAUCUAGGGUUAACUCCCUUACAUUUAGCAGCCAAGGCAGGGGAUACUGUGAAGGUCUUGAACUUAUUAGUGGAGGGUGCAGAUCCUUGCUUAAAAGAUAAGAUGGGGAAAACCCCUUAUAUUCUCGCAAAGGACAAAGAGACCCGCAAUGUUUUUCGUCGAUUCAUGGCCCAGCAUCUUGACAAGUGGGAUUGGCACGGAGCUAGUGUACCCAGCCCAUUGACAGAUGAACUUGAAGCAGCACAAAUUGCGAAGCAGCUGAUCCGUCAAAAACCUAACCCAGGCAGAGAAGGAUGCCAAAAGGAAAGCAAAAGAAAAGGAGCGGAAGAAGCUUAAAAAGGCUGAAGAAAAAGCCAAACAGGUGGAGGCGAAGGCGGAAGCGGAGGCCAAGGCGGCAGCAGCCAGUGUUCGUUAUGACAAGGACCGAGCGAAAGAAAUGCUCAAGACCUCCAAAUUAUUAGAUCCUAAGUCAAAAGAAUAUCAAGAGGCAUUGCUGAAGGCACAAGCGCAAGAGAGAGAGAUACGAGCGGCAGCUGCUGAGUUCAGAUUACGAGCAGUGGCUGGUGCAAACCAAAAGCCUGCAAGUUCAACUUCUAUAAACUCUAGUUCAACCUCUUUGAAUGCCCCUAACUUAUGCUCAUGCUGUCAAGCAUCUUUGGCAGGAAAGGUACCCUUCACCAGGUAUUCGUACCAGUAUUGUAGCACUACUUGUGUUCGUGUUCACAAAAUAGCAUUGGAAGAAGAAUAGGUUCAAUAUGUAUUGGUUAACCCUUCUACUAUGAUUGCACAUUGGAGUUUCUUGAAACUUAGUGAAACGAGUUUCUGAUUGUAGCUUGAUUAGGACUAAUCAUCGUCGGUGAUAGCGAAUGAACUUUUUUACAAUGACAUGAGGGUGAAGCCACAGGAGAGUGUUGGUUUGGAAGAAAAUGAAUUGACAAGUUGGACACUAAAACCUUUCAUGUAACAUUCUUUACUUGAGGGGUAUGGGACUCUAGUUGUGCAUUCUUCAUUAAAGUUUGGAUACUCUUCAAUAUGACCGACUUGUAUUUUUAUUAAACAGUUAUAGGACGAGCUUGUUAUGUACCUGGUAAACUUUUUGAUAUGAUACUUCUCAAACACUUCAUUA